GACGAACGCUGGCGGCGUGCUUAACACAUGCAAGUCGAACGGAAAGGCCCUGCUUUUGUGGGGUGCUCGAGUGGCGAACGGGUGAGUAACACGUGAGUAACCUGCCCUUGACUUUGGGAUAACUUCAGGAAACUGGGGCUAAUACCGGAUAGGAGCUCCUGCUGCAUGGUGGGGGUUGGAAAGUUUCGGCGGUUGGGGAUGGACUCGCGGCUUAUCAGCUUGUUGGUGGGGUAGUGGCUUACCAAGGCUUUGACGGGUAGCCGGCCUGAGAGGGUGACCGGCCACAUGGGGACUGAGAUACGGACCAGACUCCUACGGGAGGCAGCAGUGGGGAAUAUGGCACAAUGGGCGGAAGCCUGAUGCGGCAACGCCGCGUGCGGGAUGACGGCCUUCGGGUUGAGAACCGCUUUCGCCUGUGACGAAGCGUGAGUGACGGUAAUGGGUAAAGAAGCACCGGCUAACUACGUG
RNAcentral lists this ribosomal RNA (468 nucleotides) under uncultured bacterium. RNAcentral describes it as "partial 16S ribosomal RNA". It matches the Rfam family "Bacterial small subunit ribosomal RNA", at positions 28 to 507 of the family's 1533-position model. The record is from RNAcentral.